AUGCGACUUAGUAUGUUUGUUUUCGUGCAUUUAUGUUCUUAGUUCUUAGUUAUGUUAGUAGUUUAAGCCAUUUUUGUGUGUUUGUAGGUUCUUUGGGCCAAGGAUGCAAGAAGGUGCAUUUUGGAGCACUUUGGAGCAUUUUUGGGCCAAAAUUGGAUGGUGCAAACAUGGAGACAUGAGGAUGGACGAAUUUGAUGAUUCAAAGGGCUAGAAAUCUGCAUGUGUGUGUGCAAAGUGUUGGCCUACAACUUCAAACAUCAUAGCUGCCAUGUGAUGGCAGAAAAUGUGUUUAUUGCUAGCUAAAUGGAUGAAGAACAUGCAUGUGCAAGUAUAAACACCACAUGGGCAGCAAGAAGGAAAGAAAACAGCAAAACACACACCACAUGGGCAGCAAGGAAUCAGAAAUUAAAGAAUGAAAGAGUGGGAAUUGAUGAGGACAACACACACACACACACACGGCAAUGGAAUGGAGUUGGCAGAUUUCUACAACAUUGGUAGUGAAUGGACAGCAAGGAAUGGCAGAAAUUGGACCACUAUGAGGUGGAUUUCUGGUUGGUCUUCCACUUAUAGCUUUGGGUGGCUUUGGAAUGAUUAUUUCUAGGUGGAAAUAGCACAAAAACAGCACACACACAUGCAAAACAAAGCUGGCAGCAUCCUUCCCUUCAUUGCCGUGGGUUUUUGUGUGUCCAUUACCUUGCAUUUCUUUUCAUUUCCAACCUCUAUAUAAGCACCAUUCAGCCUUCAAGGAAGACACACAGAAAUUCAUACACAUUUACAUUAGUUCCAAGGCUUGCAAAGAAGGAGGAGUGCUUGGAGUUGUGCUAGCCAUUCCAUUGGAGUUGUUGGAGCAUUCUAGGUGUAUUCUACUUUGUUUUUCUAUGUUUAAUAUCAAUUGUUUUUGUUUAAUUGCAAGUAUGAGGAACUAAUCCCCUACUUAGCUAGGGGGAAGUUCGAAGCCAUGAACAUGCUUGAGAUAUGAAUUGAUUUCUUCCAAUUGUGAUUUAAUAAGUUGUGAAUGCAAUUCAAUUAACUACUUUCUUCAAAACUAAUUCUUGUAUGUUGAUUAAGGAUGCAUACUUAGUUUUCAUGCAUGAAUUUGAUGCUAGGAUAUAAAUGAGUUUCACCUAAUCGUUACAAGUUUAUAUUCAUUGGUAGUGAAGGUUGCUAGUCACAAUCGCGUUAAUUGAAUUCUUGGCAAACGUAUCAUGCAUUCAUAGUUACAAUUGCCUCGUCAACACUUAUGAUUUUCAUUGAACGUAAUGAUCUUUGAUUGUAUCUCUAUUAUGCAUUCAUGUAGGGGACUUUUGGAGAAUAAUUUGGAUUGUCGUAUGCAUUCAUCCAAUUCAAUAAAUCAAGGAAAAUCUGAGGAUUAAUUAGUGAAUCACGGUUAAUCUGGGGUGUUGAGUUUCAUAAUCUAUUGAAAAGCAAUUGGAAAUCAAUUCAUGUACAAGUGUGUCAUGUGUGAAGAAUGGAUCUCUAGCUAAUCCAUCAACCAUCUGUUUAGUUUUACUUUUUGUUGUUAUCUCAAUCUCAUCAAAACCAAAUCCCCUUUUUUCUUAAUUCUUGUUCUAAAGUGUCUUAAAUUUGUUUAGUUUGUGCUUUAAAGUGUUUUGAGUCUAGUGAGGUAUUGUAAGGUAUAGUUUUGUGUCAUUGAGUCUAUUCUAAACAUUUUUAACUUUGUUCUUAUAUUUUUGAGUCAAGUGAGAGGUCAUUAGCAAGUCCUCCUAAUCCCCGGUCCAGAACGAUCCCUACUUAUACAUAUACUACAAUUGUCAACAAGAAGGUUUAAUUUGUGUGUCAAGUAAUUCUCGCAUCAAAUUUUGGCGCCGUUGCCGGGGAUUAGCAACUUUGCUAAUCCCUUGGUUCUUUUCUUUUUGUUUAGUUUGUUUUUGUUUUAGUUUCUGACUUAGUUUUGUUUUCCUUGUUUUGUGUUACUUUUGAUAUUUGAUUUAUUUUUCUUUCUUUGAUUUUAGGUACAAAUGGAGCGAGACAUGGCACUUGCGACCAUUCAAGCUCAAUUGGCACAGCUCACUGCUCAAUUGACUCAUAAUGCCGAACGGACCACAAUGCCAAGUGUCCCUACAUUUGAUGCAAAUGAAGAUGUUUGGGGAUAUCAUUAGCAAGUCCUUAAUUUUAUGCAAAUGAAGAUGUUUGGGGAUAUCAAGGCCAUAACCAAUCAAGGGGCAACAUAUUUUCCAACGCGUACAAUUCAGAUUGGAGAGGUAAUUCAGAUUAUAUGUGGGAUGAACCUCAACAAUUUCAACAAGGUGGAUAUUGGCAGCAAGACGAGUUUUAUUCAAGACCUAUGCAGCCACCACAGCAUCCCCCACAACAAUUCCAAUCAAAUCAAAGUAUGCCCGUGAAUUAUAAUGAAAUUCUUGAAGGACUAAUUUCUGUGGCGCAGGGUUUACAAAAAGAAGAACAAUUGCCGCCAUCAGAAGAGUUCUAUCAGUAGCCAUAUGAACCGUCACAGCCACCACAACAAUCAACCCAAUUCAAUUCAGGUACAUCCUUGGAUAAUGAUACACUUAAUAAGUUACUCACCUUUUUGAAUCAGGGCAAAACCAGGAGAUGCAAGACCGAGUCAAAAGAUUGGACAAAUUGGAUAUGCAAGUUGGGCAGAUUGUGGAAUUCAUGGCACAGAUUCGAGAUCAAAGUGAACUUUCCAACUCAAACAUUGCAAAUUCAAAGGCAGAAGUUGAAAUCGAUGAAGCCAUCACUUUGGAAGAAUGAACACAUGAAGGAUGAAGCUGAAUCCAGAACAAUCAACAACACAGCCCGAACAUGGAUGAAUUGCUGCUGCAAGCAGAAGAGGAGAAGGACGAAGACCUGGGUUCAAGAAGUUAGAAGAAUUCUUGCUGCAACUCCUCAAAUCCCAUGUCAUUGAAACACUGGAUUCAACAAGUUCAAUCAAAUGUCCCCAAGUUCAAAUUUGUUCCAACAAUGUGCCUGUUUGUCAUUGAAAGUUUGUGUUCAAAGAAAAAGAAAGUAAGCCAUCUUCUCCAAUUCAAUUUUAAUGGAAUUAUACUAAACAUGUUUCUGAUUUUGAUGAUUCAAGGCACCCACUCUUGAAUUUAAACCAUUGCCCCAAAGAAUCAUUUCAAGAUAUCACACCAUCCAUUAAAAGAAACCCGGAAAUUUCCAAUGCUUUUGGAGCCGAGGGGAGUUUAAAAAGAUGUCCGGCUAAGGACGUUAAAUCAAGCGCUUCUUGUUCAGAGGCAACCCAAGCAUUUCAACGAAGGGAGACUUUGGAAUCGCUAACCAAAUCAGGGAGCAUUUUGCAUUACACCCUUAUCUUUACUGCUUUCAUUUUGUUCAGUUAGUUGUGUUAUUUGGUUGAUUUCUGUGAGUUUGUGUUAUUUAGUUUAAGUGUGGGGGAAGGUUAAACAAAGUCUUUUUACAUUGAUUUACAUAUUUUACAUUGAUUUAAAAAAAAAAAAAACAUAAAAGUAAAAAUAUUUUACAAUGAUGUGUAAACUAAUAGUUUUCAUUGGUCAGGUGGUGCUUCAGUAGUCGGCGGAGCUUCAGCAGUCGGUGGGGCCACGGAAGGAGGAGGUAUCAAAGGUUGAUCAGUUGGAGCUUCACUACGCGGUGCCGCUCCAGAAGACGAAGGCAGAUGUUGUUGGAACAAACCCACAAACCUCCGAUGAUCAAGUAAAAUCUGACCAUUAGAUUCAUGUAUCUGGUCAAUUUUCCUCUUCAUGUUUGUGGCAUAGUUGUGUGCAAGCUUGUGCAAUUGUUUAUUUUCAUGCUUGAGUCCUCUAAUCUCCUCUUUGAGACUCUGUAUUUCAGCCACCAACGAUUCAACGUGACGGGUUCGAGCAAAUAGGCGUUGGGCCAUGUUGGACACAGAACCCGCACACUGCACACUAAGAGCCAGAGACUCCUUAACCGCCAAUUCAUCAGACCGUCUAGCAAGCAGUCUGUUAUCUCUGGGGGUGACAAGGUUCCGGGCCACCACCACAGCGGUCAUGUCAUUUUUCAUCACCGAAUCCCCAACGGUGAGAGGACCAGUAGGGGAUAUGAAAGAUGGGCUCCAUAUGUUGUCUGGUGAAGGCGGAGCUGCCUCUUCACCAAUGUUCAAGUCAAAACGACGAUCGGAAGGGCCAGACAUUUUCUGAAGGUGUUGAGAAAGAAGAGAUCGGACAGAUUAAGAAUUUGGAAAUUGCAAGAAGGGAGUGUUUACAAGAGGGAGCUCAAGUGUGUUGUGGAACACAAUUAGCGCCUCUAUAAAAAGAAGAAAUCGGAGAGGCGCUCCUCAGAGAAGCGUCCUCUCGCAAAUCGAAGAGUCGGGGCUCCUUUCUCAAACGCCUGAUUCUUUUCUCAAAAGAGGAGCCUUUCUGCCGGUUUCUUUUCUUAAAAGAGGCGUUUCAUUUCUCAAAAAAUGGGCUUGCUCAGAAACCACGAGCCGAACCCCGGAUUUCAAAAGAUCAAUUUGUCCAGACGUGUCGUCACUCGUCACAUGCAACUGGCAGCUUUGCGGAAAUUACGGGCAACUUUGUUAGAAAGCGCGUAAUUUGUACUAUUCAUCCAUCUACCGGCUGCCGACAAUGAGUGAGAGAAUAGUUCCGGUUGUGAAGAAAAGUCCUAUAAGUAUUUACCUUCGCCUUCCACAGCAAAGGCACACCUUCUUCAUCUCCGAGAUUGCAUUCCCAAAGAACCCUCUCGAGUCACUCUGUAUUCCUCAAGAACCCUUCACUCUGGGAUUCCUCAUUCCCUGGCCCCCUGCAAACAACCCAUCCAGAGCAAAAGUAUUUCAUAUCAUAAAGGUUGAAAGCAAGAGUAUCUCAUCUCAUGCAUUCUCCAUGUCCUUUUCCUUGUCUUUGUUCUAACCUGCAGGACAUGGAGAAAUUGCUCUCGAGUACUCGUCUUCCACUGCUGAUGUACUUGCAAAGAAGCUGCCACAUCUACCUGAAGAACAGAUAAGGCAAGCGAAAAUGAUACCAGCAGCAUGUGGAGACAACGUACAGAAGAAACAAGCAGAGAAGAAUGCAGCUUGCACAAUCAUCCCAGCGGAAGGAGUCUGAGAUGAAGAACAAGAGAAGCUGCCACAUCUGCUUGGAGAACAAAUAAGGAACUGCAACAUCGCCAAAGAGCAAAGUCUCGCCGUACAAUAUCAUCAAAUCAUCACUUGCAAGUAAAAAGCUAAGUGUCACCCAGUUCAAGAGGAAAACUGUGGAAAGUCAACAAGCACGACUAAUGAUCACUUAUUAGUUCUAUUCAUUGUCUUUUAUCGUGAUUUUCAAUUUUUCGUUUGCAAUUCUUGCGUUACUUAACUGAUUUAUUUCUUUUCUUUGCAGGAACUUUUGGUUAUUUCCACCCUUGAAGUUGAUUGCAGAAUUUUAGCUUGGGGGGUCAUCGCUUGGUUUUACUGCAAACUAGGGAAGUUUUUAGUCCAAUUGCUUUAUUUUCUUAUAUUAUAGUGUUUUCUGACAUUGGUAUAGAUUUCAUGGGUCCUUUCCCUCCAUCUUUUGGUUUCACUUAUAUCUUGCUAGCUGUUCAAAUUCCAUUAUUGUUUUGUGAAAACUAAUUUGGGUUUGAAGCCCUCAUUAUUUCCGGAACUCCAUGGAAAUUAAAAGAUUCUAGGAAUUUCCGACUCCAACCAUGGGGUUUUAGUUUGCAUGUUGCCUUCUCGUUGUUUGUUUGCCCUUUGUUUAUGUUUGUGUUUGUUUGACUAAUGUGUGAGUUUAUUUAAAUUGGGGGGGUUGUAAAACAAGUUGCUGUUGCAUGAUUUUCGUGGGAUUUUAUUCACCUAUCACUUACAAUGUUGUGUUUCUUGCUGUUUUUUAAGUGUGUUUUUAAGUGUGUUUUUAAGUUUGUUUUUGACAAAAAAUCAAAAUUUGACAAAAAGUUGAAUUGAAAAAAUUUUGAAAAAAGCCAAAAAGAGAGUUGUUUUUGUGUUGUGUUUGUUUGUGUCUUAGGGUACCUUCCAACAAAAUAAUGAGGAUUUGGUUUUUAAUUGCAUGACUGUUAAAGUUAAAGUUAUAAACAUGGAUGGAAGUUUGAUAUGCUCUUGAUUUAUGCUUGGUUAUAGUUAUAGUUUACGAAUUCACAUGUAAUCACAAAGAAAAAAAUUAGUUUUUGUAACAUGCUUGAAGGAAGGAACUCAAACUAACACUACAACCUUGAGAGACUUGAGCCUAAUACGUUCUUUGGAGAGUUAUUAAUCUGUGCAUUUUUGUUUUCUAAAGUCGUUGCAUGAUCUCAUCAUUCUUUGCUUGGUUGCUACUUAGAAGGCGUUUCAUCAUUUAGUUCCAAAUACUAGAACUUAUGCCCGUUCCAUUCAAAGCAUGACAUUGAUUUGCAUAACACAUAUUCAAGAUGAAGUUGUGUAGUGAACUAGAGCCAAAAAGCUUAUCCCGUGCAUAUUUGUUUAAGUUUAACCCCGUUGAGCCUUGUUUAGCCUGUUUCUUUGUUAAACGACAUUUCCCUUACCUAGCCUAGAUUAGGACUAUCCAUACCCUUGUUUUUAAAGCAUAAUGAAGCAUGACUUAAAAUGAAUUCCUUUUGAGUGUCCUUAUGCAGAAAACAAGUGUGGGGGAAUGAGAUUUUUGUGUUUUGUGUGCCAAAAGAAAGUAAUAAGGCACGGGUUAGAAAAGAAAAAAAAGAAAAAAGAAAAGAAAAAGUGUUGAAAAGAAAAGAAAAAGAGUUUGAAAUAAGUGAGGAAAGGCUCACAAGUGUUGUUUGUUGUAGAAAGGGUCCAAAAAGUUGAAAUUGGCCCUAAAAAGUUGAAUGAAUAAUCCCAUUGUGUUUAAAGUUAGUUGCUGCAUUCAAAGGGAAUUCUAAGCAUCAAUUUCAUUACUUUGCUUAUUAUGCUUUAAAAACGUUUGUUUCCUUACCUUUCAUUGUUAGCCAAUCAACCCUAACCCCGUUACAACCCUUAACUUCAAUCUUGAGUGUUAUGUGUUUCAAUAUGUAGAGUUUGGGAUUGGUACGAGCAUAUGGUGUCCCUGGUUCUCGCAUCUAAGUAGUAGCAUUCCAGUCAUGAGAUCAUAUCUAUACAUGCUUAAUAACUCCAGAAAUUACUUUCUUUGCUAUAAACAUAUGUGAGUGUUCAUUUUCAUGUUUACAUCAAUCUUCUCACAUACACCUAGUGUAGGGUGAGUAGUCAGAAAAUCAGAGUGAAAAUAAGAGUGUAUCUUGUAAGGAAUUGAGCAAAUUCUCUAAGGCAUGUCACUACAUUCAAAACAUCGUUUUAAUUGGUUAUAUGUGAACUAGUAUGUGGUGACUAUGAUUAAGUAUGUGCUCAAGGGUAGGGAAGGCAAAAAAAUAUGUGGUUAUGAUGAUCUUUUGCAUGUCAUGUUGCAUUGAAAAUCCCUAAGGUAAAUGUUGGAAGGUUUAGGUUUUGUUUUGUUUAUCUUAUGUUUUUGUUUCUUUGUUUUGCUCGAGGACUAGCAAAAGCUAAGUGUGGGGGAAUUUGAUAGGAGCAUAUUUAUGCGACUUAGUAUGUUUGUUUUCGUGCAUUUAUGUUCUUAGUUCUUAGUUAUGUUAGUAGUUUAAGCUAUUUUUGUGUGUUUGUAGGUUCUUUGGGCCAAGGAUGCAAGAAGGUGCAUUUUGGAGCACUUUGGAGCAUUUUUGGGCCAAGAUUGGAUGGUGCAAACAUGGAGACAUGAGGAUGGACGAAUUUGAUGAUUCAAAGGGCUAGAAAUCUGCAUGUGUGUGUGCAAAGUGUUGGCCUACAACUUCAAACAUCAUAGCUGCCAUGUGAUGGCAGAAAAUGUGUUUAUUGCUAGCUAAAUGGAUGAAGAACAUGCAUGUGCAAGUAUAAACACCACAUGGGCAGCAAGAAGGAAAGAAAACAGCAAAACACACACCACAUGGGCAGCAAGGAAUCAGAAAUUAAAGAAUGGAAGAGUGGGAAGUGAUGAGGACAACACACACACACACACACGGCAAUGGAAUGGAGUUGGCAGAUUUCUACAACAUUGGUAGUGAAUGGACAGCAAGGAAUGGCAGAAAUUGGACCACUAUGAG
RNAcentral lists this long non-coding RNA (7974 nucleotides) under Malus domestica (apple). Its description in RNAcentral is "long non-coding RNA (MDOM_LNC020357)". The record is from RNAcentral. Lineage: Eukaryota; Viridiplantae; Streptophyta; Magnoliopsida; Rosales; Rosaceae.